AAAAUGAUAGGAUGAAAUUUGAGGGCCUGGAGCAUGAUUCUGGCUGCUUAUUAGGGAGCUUGGGGGGAGGCUGGGAGGUGAGUGAGUGGUCACAAGAUCAGGUGAGGUCCCAGGUGCAUCAGGCUCUGCUGAUGCACCUGUUAGAAAGUGAAGAUGAAUCUUGAAGGGCCAGGACUUGUGGCUGCCUGGAUGUGAGCAGCGAGGGCAGGGGGAGCCGCGACAACUUCUAGUUUUCUGUCUCAGGUGACUGGGUGCUCCUAGGGACAGAUUUGGGAUCCAGAAGUAGAAGUAAAUUCAGGAGAAAGUCUGAAUUCAGCAAAGGACCUGGAUAGUAUGAGAUACUGUGGGGACUCGGGGCAUGUUCUGUCACAAGGAGGUAAUGUGUGGAGAAAAUGGAAAGCCUGGGAUCCUAGGGUAGGGUGGGAACUGUGCUUGUGCUGCUGUCAUACCUGGACCCCCCAAAUGUCCCAAAUCCUUGGACACCUAAGAGGACUCAUCCUGCUUACCCUCCUUCCUCUUCCGAACUGUUUACUCCAUGACCCCUGAUCCCCCUUUUCUUGGGUUCCUUCUGCUUCUGUGGACAUUCUAUACUGUCUCCUUCACAUACACCUUCUUUCCUACCAUUUGCUUGGGUGCCCAGCCAGGAGGGAGCCUCCCCAAGAGGUUUAGGUUUGUGUUCGGAUGGGGGAUUUGUUGGAGUGCUUGGUUCAAGUCAGGCUAAACUAGGAAGAUUUCUUAGAGGAGGAAGGGAUAUGCAGUCUACUGGUCCUGGUUAUUGCUGGAUGCUGUGUGGGGCAUUUUGUAUACAUGAUUUCACUGAUCCCUGCAACAAGCCUUCUGAGGGAUUUGUUUCCUAGUUUUAAGCAGGGACAUUAUGGCUCAGAACAAGGUAUGGGAGGCACUGUUUGGAUCCAUGUCAAAUGUAUUAUUCUGGGAGGAAGGUCAGGGAGGUUCUCCCAACCCAGAGAGGAGCAUUAAGUCAGGGGGUCUUGAAGGUCAAACCAGGUCUGUGGUGGUAUGAAGUUUGGAUGGUGGAAGCACAAAAAAGGUUUGUGCCUCUCCUAGGUUCACACAACUGGGAACUACAAUCUCCCAGCAGCCUGGCUCACAGCCUAGAUGGGAAUUUCCUGGUGCAAUUGUGCCCUCUAUUGGCCAUUCUUCUG
RNAcentral lists this long non-coding RNA (1163 nucleotides) under Marmota monax (woodchuck). Lineage: Eukaryota; Metazoa; Chordata; Mammalia; Rodentia; Sciuridae. The record is from RNAcentral.